UCCUCGAAUUGAAACACCACAAACCAAAUGCUUUGGCAGCCAAAUACGCUCCCCGAUCACAGCUUCCUACGUGACACCCAGAUCGCGAUGGGAAUCGAGUCUCCUUGUGCCGCUGUUAGUCCAUCCGUGCCAUCGUCAGUGCCCAUUAAUCACGCAGCGAACUUGUGAUGACUCACAGAGAACCGGAAAAAUAAAUGUAGCCUCUCCUUGUGUGAACGCUAAUAAUCAAACCGCGCAAUAAAGGAAUGCAGAAGGAUGAGCGUGCAAUCUGGCGUCAGGACUUCUGAUUUAUGGCCGCGGCCCUGGGCUCCCAAACACCUCACCACCUGCCUGCACAUCCACGCGGCUGAAGACAAGCGAUAACGGAUUGGAGGCGGAAGCGCCUUUGGAGAACAGCGCCGUGACAGAUAGGCAGCUCUGGGCGUCGCAUCGCACGGUGAUCGUCUGGGCUGCCUCAGACUCUGUGAGUCUGCAGGGAACUGCCAUUUGGAAUACCGUCCUUUGAACGGAAGAAGAGCAUCACUGGGAGGCGCAGAUGGAACAUUACAGAGAAGAUGAUUGAUGUCUGUGAUUUACAGCGAAAUAAUGUGGAAGAGGGAAAAGCGACUGAGGAUGCAGAUGCAAUGUGACGAAAAAGCUCGGCAGCUGUUCUUGAGCAGAAAGGGGGAUGGAGAUGAACCAUGGGACGGGACCCACUGCAAGAGAUUCAUCACCCUGGCCUCUUUCGCCUGUGAAUCCUGCUACGUCCACACAUACCAGCAUCCUAAUAUCCUGGAAUGGCUUCCAGAGAGGAUAUUAAUUAAAGCAACCAUACAAACAGACUCACAUCUCUGGGUCUUCGCCACUGUAUUUCUGGAGGUGACGAGGAUGCUAGAAAAGAGGACUGGAGAAGACCUGCUGGAUUUUUCAGCUUUACCUUUGAUUCUGGUCCUGUGCUUGGCCAUACGACCUUGAGCAAAUCAGCCUUCCUUUAAUUUCUAUAAAUUUAAAAUUAGUUCUUUGCUCAGGACAGAAAGAACCUAGAAACCGCCUCGAAGAAGGAGACACCAGCACCCCAAAGUCUGCCAACGCACACAGUCUCAGUGACAUUUACCUUUUAGUGAUGGCAUUCUUAGCAGCCCUUCAUGAUAAAAUGGAUAGCACUUGGGAUGGAACCAGGGACUUGAGCAGGCUA
Molecule: long non-coding RNA, 1174 nt
Organism: Chinchilla lanigera (long-tailed chinchilla)
Lineage: Eukaryota; Metazoa; Chordata; Mammalia; Rodentia; Chinchillidae
Exons: 8
Source: RefSeq, a predicted model, not a curated record